Molecule: ribosomal RNA, 660 nt
Filed under: uncultured bacterium
Lineage: Bacteria
Description: bacterial SSU rRNA
Rfam family: Bacterial small subunit ribosomal RNA
Source: RNAcentral
AGUGGCGGACGGGUGAGUAACGCGUGAGAAUCUGCCUUGGGGUCGGGGACAACCACUGGAAACGGUGGCUAAUACCGGAUAAGCCGAUUGGUGAAAGAUUUAUUGCCCGAAGAGGAGCUCGCGUCUGAUUAGCUAGUUGGUGAGGUAAGAGCUCACCAAGGCAGCGAUCAGUAGCUGGUCUGAGAGGACGAUCAGCCACACUGGGACUGAGACACGGCCCAGACUCCUACGGGAGGCAGCAGUGGGGAAUUUUCCGCAAUGGGCGAAAGCCUGACGGAGCAAGACCGCGUGAGGGAGGAAGGCUCUUGGGUUGUAAACCUCUUUUCUCAGGGAAGAAGCUCUGACGGUACCUGAGGAAUCAGCCUCGGCUAACUCCGUGCCAGCAGCCGCGGUAAUACGGAGGAGGCAAGCGUUAUCCGGAAUUAUUGGGCGUAAAGCGUCCGCAGGUGGCGAUUCAAGUCUGCUGUCAAAGCACGGGGCGUAACUCCGUAAAGGCAGUGGAAACUGAAUAGCUAGAGUGCCGUAGGGGUAGAGGGAAUUCCCGGUGUAGCGGUGAAAUGCGUAGAGAUCGGGAAGAACAUCGGUGGCGAAAGCGCUCUACUGGACGGCAACUGACACUCAGGGACGAAAGCUAGGGGAGCGAAUGGGAUUAGAUACCCC